RNAcentral lists this ribosomal RNA (845 nucleotides) under Staphylococcus aureus. Its description in RNAcentral is "partial 23S ribosomal RNA". It matches the Rfam family "Bacterial large subunit ribosomal RNA", at positions 1 to 842 of the family's 2925-position model. Lineage: Bacteria; Bacillati; Bacillota; Bacilli; Caryophanales; Staphylococcaceae. The record is from RNAcentral.
AGAUUAAGUUAUUAAGGGCGCACGGUGGAUGCCUUGGCACUAGAAGCCGAUGAAGGACGUUACUAACGACGAUAUGCUUUGGGGAGCUGUAAGUAAGCUUUGAUCCAGAGAUUUCCGAAUGGGGAAACCCAGCAUGAGUUAUGUCAUGUUAUCGAUAUGUGAAUACAUAGCAUAUCAGAAGGCACACCCGGAGAACUGAAACAUCUUAGUACCCGGAGGAAGAGAAAGAAAAUUCGAUUCCCUUAGUAGCGGCGAGCGAAACGGGAAGAGCCCAAACCAACAAGCUUGCUUGUUGGGGUUGUAGGACACUCUAUACGGAGUUACAAAGGACGACAUUAGACGAAUCAUCUGGAAAGAUGAAUCAAAGAAGGUAAUAAUCCUGUAGUCGAAAAUGUUGUCUCUCUUGAGUGGAUCCUGAGUACGGCGGAACACGAGAAAUUCCGUCGGAAUCUGGGAGGACCAUCUCCUAAGGCUAAAUACUCUCUAGUGACCGAUAGUGAACCAGUACCGUGAGGGAAAGGUGAAAAGCACCCCGGAAGGGGAGUGAAAUAGAACCUGAAACCGUGUGCUUACAAGUAGUCAGAGCCCGUUAAUGGGUGAUGGCGUGCCUUUUGUAGAAUGAACCGGCGAGUUACGAUUUGAUGCAAGGUUAAGCAGUAAAUGUGGAGCCGUAGCGAAAGCGAGUCUGAAUAGGGCGUUUAGUAUUUGGUCGUAGACCCGAAACCAGGUGAUCUACCCUUGGUCAGGUUGAAGUUCAGGUAACACUGAAUGGAGGACCGAACCGACUUACGUUGAAAAGUGAGCGGAUGAACUGAGGGUAGCGGAGAAAUUCCAAUCGAACCUGG